Molecule: ribosomal RNA, 494 nt
Filed under: uncultured bacterium
Lineage: Bacteria
Description: partial 16S ribosomal RNA
Rfam family: Bacterial small subunit ribosomal RNA
Source: RNAcentral
GACGAACGCUGGCGGCGUGCUUAACACAUGCAAGUCGAACGGUGAAGCGCCUUCCUUUUUGGUGGGUGUGGAUGCGUGGCGAACGGGUGAGUAACACGUGAGUAACCUGCCCCCUUCUUCUGGAUAACCGCAUGAAAGUGUGUCUAAUACGGGAUAUUCUGGGUCUUUCGCGUGGUGGGUCUGGGUAAGAUGUUGUUUCUGGAGGGGAUGGGCUCGCGGCCUAUCAGCUUGUAGGUGCGGUGAUGGUCUACCAAGGCGGGGAGGUGUGGCAGGCCUGAGGGGGUGGACGGUCUGACUGGGAGUGAGACACGGUACAGACUGAUACGCGGGGCAGCAGUGGGGAAUAGUGCGCAAUGGGCGAAAGUCUGAUGCAGCGACGCCGCGUGAGGGAUGGAGGCCUUCGGGUGGUGAACCUCUUUCGCCAGUGAAGCAGGCCUGCCUCGUUUGUGGGUUGGUUGACGGUAGCUGGAAAAGAAGCGCCGGCUAACUACGUG